GACGAACGCUGGCGGCGUGCUUAACACAUGCAAGUCGAACGAAGAGCGAUGGAAGCUUGCUUCUAUCAAUCUUAGUGGCGAACGGGUGAGUAACGCGUAAUCAACCUGCCCUUCAGAGGGGGACAACAGUUGGAAACGACUGCUAAUACCGCAUACGAUCUAACCUCGGCAUCGAGGAUAGAUGAAAGGUGGCCUCUACAUGUAAGCUAUCACUGAAGGAGGGGAUUGCGUCUGAUUAGCUAGUUGGAGGGGUAACGGCCCACCAAGGCGAUGAUCAGUAGCCGGUCUGAGAGGAUGAACGGCCACAUUGGGACUGAGACACGGCCCAGACUCCUACGGGAGGCAGCAGUGGGGAAUCUUCCGCAAUGGACGAAAGUCUGACGGAGCAACGCCGCGUGAGUGAUGACGGCCUUCGGGUUGUAAAGCUCUGUUAAUCGGGACGAAAGGCCUUCUUGCGAAUAGUUAGAAGGAUGACGGUA
RNAcentral lists this ribosomal RNA (479 nucleotides) under Veillonella parvula. RNAcentral's name for it is "bacterial SSU rRNA". It matches the Rfam family "Bacterial small subunit ribosomal RNA", at positions 28 to 477 of the family's 1533-position model. The record is from RNAcentral. Lineage: Bacteria; Bacillati; Bacillota; Negativicutes; Veillonellales; Veillonellaceae.